GCAAACUUGGUCAUUUAGAGGAAGUACAAGUCGUAACAAGGUAUCCGUAGGUGAACCUGCGGAUGGAUCAUUAACAAAGGAAGUGUCCAAUGUAGUGUGAACUGUAUUGAGCAUGGUCAGUGAGUGGUGUUGGUUGAUUGUGUGGGUGGGUGAUGUUUGUGGGGUGAUUGUAGAGCAAUGUUCUACGGUGGUUGCUGAGUUGUUCAGCAGUGCUUGUAGGACAGUGCUCUGCAGUGACUGCGAGUUCGGCAGCGCUUGCAGGACAGUGUCCUGCUGUGAUUGCAGGCUCGCCAAUGCUGCAGUUAACAACAACCCACACCCCAUCAGUCCAGCGCCUCGCACUGGCCGUACCAUACCUAAACGUACAUUCUUGCUUGCAUACUGACGUCUACUCUGGUAGCAUUAUAGUAACUAGAGACAACUUUUAGCAACGGAUCUCUUGGCUCUCGCAUCGAUGAAGAACGCAGC
This 468-nucleotide unclassified non-coding RNA is filed under the name uncultured fungus. Its description in RNAcentral is "partial contains small subunit ribosomal RNA, internal transcribed spacer 1, and 5.8S ribosomal RNA". The stretch from base 1 to 73 matches the Rfam family "Eukaryotic small subunit ribosomal RNA", at positions 1759 to 1831 of the family's 1831-position model. Lineage: Eukaryota; Fungi. The record is from RNAcentral.